AAAACCUUGGGACAGUUACAAAUAAAACUAAGAUGUAUGAAAAGGCUCUGAAGACAAUACCUACAUGUCGCAUGUAAAGUUUUUGGACAAUAUCAUAUCAUUAGGUGCUUUGGAAUUCAGACCAACUAAAAUGUAGAAACAUGGUAACUAGUCAGAUGUUGAAGAACUUAAUCCCAAUAAUGAAAAUUGGAGGCAUGUAUGUUGCCCCAAGUGAUAGUUCAUAAAUUUAAGAAAAA
Molecule: long non-coding RNA, 236 nt
Filed under: Elaeis guineensis (African oil palm)
Lineage: Eukaryota; Viridiplantae; Streptophyta; Magnoliopsida; Arecales; Arecaceae
Description: long non-coding RNA (EGUI_LNC074091)
Source: RNAcentral